This 253-nucleotide ribosomal RNA is filed under the name uncultured bacterium. RNAcentral's name for it is "partial 16S ribosomal RNA". It matches the Rfam family "Bacterial small subunit ribosomal RNA", at positions 524 to 776 of the family's 1533-position model. The record is from RNAcentral.
UACAGAGGGGGCAAGCGUUGUUCGGAAUUACUGGGCGUAAAGGGCGCGUAGGCGGCCUUCUAAGUCGAACGUGAAAUCCCCGGGCUCAACCCGAGAACUGCGUCCGAUACUGGAAGGCUUGAAUCCGGGAGAGGGAUGCGGAAUUCCAGGUGUAGCGGUGAAAUGCGUAGAUAUCUGGAGGAACACCGGUGGCGAAGGCGGCAUCCUGGACCGGCAUUGACGCUGAGGCGCGAAAGCCAGGGGAGCAAACGGG